This 215-nucleotide unclassified non-coding RNA is filed under the name Hevea brasiliensis (rubber tree). The record is from RNAcentral. Lineage: Eukaryota; Viridiplantae; Streptophyta; Magnoliopsida; Malpighiales; Euphorbiaceae.
AUCAAGUAAGUUAAUUAUUAUUUUGUUAACGUUUUUAUUUUAAUAUUUCCAAUUGGAUACAUGACGAAUGGCUUUAUUUCAUUCAUGUGAACAGAGUACAUUGUCACAUUCUAAGAAAAUUUUGGCAAAAAUUGGGGCAUAUUUAAAAAAAAAAUUCAUGCAAAGCUAAAAUUAAAAACUCAUCUUGCAAAUCGAAAUUCUAAUAUUAAUCUUUA